This 958-nucleotide long non-coding RNA is filed under the name Mytilus galloprovincialis (Mediterranean mussel). The record is from RNAcentral. Lineage: Eukaryota; Metazoa; Mollusca; Bivalvia; Mytilida; Mytilidae.
UGGCUGUAUUCCUGACUUGGUACAGGACAUUUUUUUUUAAAGAAAACCAGAUGUUCCGCAGGGUGCAGCUUUAUACGACCGCAGAGGUUGAACCCUGAAAGGUUGGGGCAAGUAUGGACACAACAUUCAAGCUGGAUUCAGCUCUAAAUUUGGAUUGUGAUUAAAUGAUUGACACAUCAUAGGUUUCUGACACAGAAUAUAUGUGGUCUAAUGAACUUAAAGAAUGAAUGUGGUUUAAUGAACUUAUUUGUUUUUUGUUUUGGGGCAAUUCACUGUGCUGUUGAAUAUUAAUCCUCUCAACCAAAAAAUUGUUUAAAGAAAUUUCUUAUGAAAUUCUGAUAUAAAAAAAAUAUUUGACUCCAACCCCAAUUUUUUUUCACCUCCCCCUUUCCCUUAUUCCAAAAAUUAUCUCAAUUCAAAUUUCUAAUGGAAUUUGCAACAAUAACUACUCAUUUACUAACUGAGUUUAGAGGUAAUAGGCAUUAUACAUUGUAUACACAUUUCAUUAAAUUUAGCUGAGACAAACUUAAGUUAAGAGAACAGAAACGAAAAAAUUCUGCAGUGUUUCCACUUGUACAGGGGCAUAACCCUAGAAUUGUAAUCAAAGUGCUUAUAAUCACUGAAUGGUUUAGGUGUAAUACCACCAAAUCAUGGUUCGUCACAUCAGGUUGUAUACGAAAGUAGGUCGAAAAAAAAAUUCCCUUGAAUUAGACAGUUGUAGGUAAUUAAUCCUACAUUUUAUUGCAGUAAAACCAUUUCUGUGUCAUAAACAUAUGUCUUGGGUAUUUCAAAAUACCAUUAUUUUUUAUUUGGGAUUUCUAUAGAAAAUUUUGUAAUCUUGAGGUUACAUGGUGACUAAACCUUGUACACAGAUAAAAUAAGGGGAGAAAUUUGAUUGGUUAACUUCCAAUGAUGGUUAUUUUCUUAUACGCAAUGAAAUGUUAUGUGAAUUUUUUUC